Non-coding RNA from Chiloscyllium plagiosum (whitespotted bambooshark), 72 nucleotides. NCBI's taxonomy places the organism in Eukaryota, Metazoa, Chordata, Chondrichthyes, Orectolobiformes, Hemiscylliidae. The record is from the annotation of a RefSeq genome assembly.
GUCUCUGUAGCUCAGUGGUUAGAGCACUGGUUUUGUAAACCAACGGUCGUGAGUUCGAGUCUCACUGGGACU